RNAcentral lists this ribosomal RNA (253 nucleotides) under uncultured bacterium. RNAcentral's name for it is "partial 16S ribosomal RNA". It matches the Rfam family "Bacterial small subunit ribosomal RNA", at positions 524 to 776 of the family's 1533-position model. The record is from RNAcentral.
UACGUAGGGUGCAAGCGUUACUCGGAAUUAUUGGGCGUAAAGCGUGCGCAGGCGGCUUUGCAAGUCAGAUGUGAAAUCCCCGGGCUUAACCUGGGAACUGCAUUUGUGACUGCAUGGCUAGAGUGCGGCAGAGGGGGAUGGAAUUCCGCGUGUAGCAGUGAAAUGCGUAGAUAUGCGGAGGAACACCGAUGGCGAAGGCAAUGCCCUGGGCCGGCACUGACGCUCAGGCACGAAAGCGUGGGGAGCAAACAGG